Molecule: ribosomal RNA, 252 nt
Filed under: uncultured bacterium
Lineage: Bacteria
Description: partial 16S ribosomal RNA
Rfam family: Bacterial small subunit ribosomal RNA
Source: RNAcentral
UACGUAGGUCCCGAGCGUUGUCCGGAUUUAUUGGGCGUAAAGCGAGCGCAGGUGGUUUAUUAAGUCUGGUGUAAAAGGCAGUGGCUCAACCAUUGUAUGCAUUGGAAACUGGUAGACUUGAGUGCAGGAGAGGAGAGUGGAAUUCCAUGCGUAGCGGUGAAAUGCGUAGAUAUAUGGAGGAACACCGGUGGCGAAUGCGGCUCUCUGGCCUGUAACUGACACUGAGGCUCGAAAGCGUGGGGAGCAAACAGG